Molecule: microRNA precursor, 183 nt
Filed under: Oryza meridionalis
Lineage: Eukaryota; Viridiplantae; Streptophyta; Magnoliopsida; Poales; Poaceae
Description: MIR812 microRNA precursor family
Rfam family: MIR812 microRNA precursor family
Source: Rfam by way of RNAcentral
UUUAGGUGCAGAUACGGGUUUCCGUGUCCAACAUUUAACCGUCCGUCUUAUUUGAAAAAAAAGUCAUACAUAAAGUACUAUUUAUUUUUAUCAUCUAAUAUAACAAAAAUACUACUUAUACAAAAAUUUUAAAUAAAACGGACGGUCAAAUGUUGAACAUAUAAACCCACAACUGCACUUAAA